GACGUCGGCGCUCGGCGCACCGAAUCCGAUAACCAUCAGCACUUCGGCGGCCAGCAACCACGUGAUCGCAACCGCGAAGUAGGUGAUGGUCCACCUGGAAAGAUUAUUACCCAUUAUCGCCAUUCCUCGCGCCGCGCGCGGCGUACGUAGGAGGCGCCCCGCAGGGCGAACGCGGUCGGCAGGGAAAGAUCGCCGGCGGACACCGGCAGCCAGACGAGUGCGGUCGCGCCCGCAUAGAUCGCGCCGAAAAAGUAGAAGAGCCUGAAUCCGCGAGAGAAGAUCGCGAGCCCGGAUAGGCCUUCCGUUUGUGCAUUAUCGCCACGACGUAUCCUCGUUG
RNAcentral lists this unclassified non-coding RNA (337 nucleotides) under Hevea brasiliensis (rubber tree). Lineage: Eukaryota; Viridiplantae; Streptophyta; Magnoliopsida; Malpighiales; Euphorbiaceae. The record is from RNAcentral.